GCCUAAUACAUGCAAGUCGAGCGAACGGACGAGAAGCUUGCUUCUCUGAUGUUAGCGGCGGACGGGUGAGUAACACGUGGAUAACCUACCUAUAAGACUGGGAUAACUUCGGGAAACCGGAGCUAAUACCGGAUAAUAUUUUGAACCGCAUGGUUCAAGAGUGAAAGACGGUCUUGCUGUCACUUAUAGAUGGAUCCGCGCUGCAUUAGCUAGUUGGUAAGGUAACGGCUUACCAAGGCAACGAUGCAUAGCCGACCUGAGAGGGUGAUCGGCCACACUGGAACUGAGACACGGUCCAGACUCCUACGGGAGGCAGCAGUAGGGAAUCUUCCGCAAUGGGCGAAAGCCUGACGGAGCAACGCCGCGUGAGUGAUGAAGGUCUUCGGAUCGUAAAACUCUGUUAUUAGGGAAGAACAUACGUGUAAGUAACUAUGCACGUCUUGACGGUAGCUAAUAAGAAAGCCACGGCUAACUACGUGCCAGCAGCCGCGGUAAUACGU
RNAcentral lists this ribosomal RNA (500 nucleotides) under Klebsiella pneumoniae. RNAcentral describes it as "bacterial SSU rRNA". It matches the Rfam family "Bacterial small subunit ribosomal RNA", at positions 46 to 528 of the family's 1533-position model. The record is from RNAcentral. Lineage: Bacteria; Pseudomonadati; Pseudomonadota; Gammaproteobacteria; Enterobacterales; Enterobacteriaceae.